GUGAAGUGAGUUCUUUGGUCAGAAGCAAUACUGUAUGGAAUGCCUCGACAACUGAUGAGGUGUUCUGGAAGAACAUGGAUGGAAGUCUUGACAAAAGCGUUACAUGCACGGAAGGCACAGUCAUAACCAGAAUAAGUAUCUACUUCAUAAGGACAAAGCAUUGUCCUUUCUACAGAGGAAGUAGUCCUAAGUGGUCAGCCAGGCCACCACGUCGCUGGCUGGUCACCCUGAGGAAUGGCACCAUACCAGGGGCUCAAUGUUGGUGUCUGUUGCUGGAAGAUCUGAAACUCAACAGCUGCUAGGUCAGCUUCGGAAACCCGACAAGGGUGGAAAAGCCUACAGUUACAAAUAUCUCCCUGAGGAAGAAGGAAGGCCCUGGAAUUUUUUCUUGGAUUCAUUUCCCACAUUCUGACCAAAUAUAUGUUACCAACAAAUCCAAAA
Long non-coding RNA from Mastomys coucha (southern multimammate mouse), 441 nucleotides. RefSeq lists it as uncharacterized. The record is from RefSeq and is a predicted model, not a curated record. Lineage: Eukaryota; Metazoa; Chordata; Mammalia; Rodentia; Muridae. The transcript has 2 exons.